Molecule: ribosomal RNA, 478 nt
Filed under: uncultured bacterium
Lineage: Bacteria
Description: partial 16S ribosomal RNA
Rfam family: Bacterial small subunit ribosomal RNA
Source: RNAcentral
GACGAACGCUGGCGGCGUGCUUAACACAUGCAAGUCGAACGGUAAGGCCCUUCGGGGUACACGAGUGGCGAACGGGUGAGUAACACGUGGGUGAUCUGCCCUGCACUUCGGGAUAAGCCUGGGAAACUGGGUCUAAUACCGGAUAGGACCACUGCCUGCAUGGGUGGUGGUGGAAAGCUUUUGCGGGGUGGGAAGGGCCCGCUGCCGAUCAGCUUGUUGGUGGGGUGAUGGCCUACCAAGGCGACGACGGGUAGCCGGCGUGAGAGGGUGACCGGGCGCACUGGGACUGGGAUGCGGCCCAGAAUCCGACGGGAGGCAGCAGUGGGGAAUAUUGCACAAUGGGCGCAAGCCUGAUGCAGCGACGCCGCGUGAGGGAUGACGGCCUUCGGGUUGUAAACCUCUUUCAGCACCGACGAAGCGCAAGUGACGGUAGGUGCAGAAGAAGGACCGGCCAACUACGUGCCAGCCGCCGCCGUAA